This 345-nucleotide transfer-messenger RNA is filed under the name Candidatus Colwellbacteria bacterium RIFCSPHIGHO2_12_FULL_44_17. It matches the Rfam family "transfer-messenger RNA". Rfam says of the family: Bacterial tmRNA, also known as 10Sa RNA or SsrA, is named for its dual tRNA and mRNA-like properties. Its role is to liberate the mRNA from a stalled ribosome. The record is from RNAcentral. RNAcentral also lists the same sequence under 3 other names. Lineage: Bacteria; Candidatus Colwelliibacteriota.
GGGGGUGAUGAGCUUCGACGAAGUACUUUACAAAGAGAUUGCAAGCAGAGCUCGGAGAACUCUUUAAAAGCUCCGAAACUGAUACGUGCUACAUCACAGUAUCGACAGCCAGCUUUAGCUUACGCUUAACUGGCCAUCGGCUCGCGUAUGCCUCUUUGCGAAUACCGGUGUUAUAUUGAGGCUUACUCUUUCGCCUUGACGUAGCGACAGAGGACCAUGCACGUCAUAAGGUUAGAAGUUUUUUGUCUGAUUUGAGCUUCUACCCUUUCAUUUAAUCAGACUACGCUUGUAGAUGUUUCUUUGUUUUUAUUUCGGACGGGAGUGCGAUUCUCCCCACCUCCACCA